This 366-nucleotide ribosomal RNA is filed under the name Triticum aestivum (bread wheat). RNAcentral describes it as "partial small subunit ribosomal RNA". The record is from RNAcentral. Lineage: Eukaryota; Viridiplantae; Streptophyta; Magnoliopsida; Poales; Poaceae.
AUGCUAAAAAAUCAAAGGCCCGUGGUUGCCAUAGUCCGCUCUCAUGUAUGCAGGGCGAAAAGAUCGGAAGAAUACGACGGAUCAAUUACCUGUCAACCGGAUCCAGUAGAAAUUCGAGUCCGUUGUCAGGCAGGGCACCGUCUUCUCCCAUAUUGCCCGCCGCCGCCAUUCUUUUCGCCUUCCGCCGACGAGAUGCAGUACCAGCCCCUGUCGUACCAGCCUCAUGUUCUUCUUGGGAAAACUGAAAGAAAACGUUUGUUCAAACGUACUUCAGCUCCUGUUGUCAACCUGUCCACAAAGACUGUAGCAAAGUUCAUCAUGCUAGGACAGAUGCAGUACCAGCCUCAUGUUCUUCUUCUUCUUUAA